AGUGAACGCUGGCGGUAGGCCUAACACAUGCAAGUCGAACGGCAGCACAGUAAGAGCUUGCUCUUACGGGUGGCGAGUGGCGGACGGGUGAGGAAUACAUCGGAAUCUACUUUUUCGUGGGGGAUAACGUAGGGAAACUUACGAUAAUACCGCAUACGACCUACGGGUGAAAGCAGGGGAUCUUCGGACCUUGCGCGAUUGAAUGAGCCGAUGUCGGAUUAGCUAGUUGGCGGGGUAAAGGCCCACCAAGGCGACGAUCCGUAGCUGGUCUGAGAGGAUGAUCAGCCACACUGGACCUGAGACACGGUCCAGACUCCUACGGGAGGCAGCAGUGGGGAAUAUUGGACAAUGGGCGCAAGCCUGAUCCAGCCAUACCGCGUGGGUGAAGAAGGCCUUCGGGUUGUAAAGCCCUUUUGUUGGGAAAGAAAAGCAGCAGGUUAAUACCCCGCUGUUCUGACGGUACCCAAAGAAUAAGCACCGGCUAACUUCGUG
RNAcentral lists this ribosomal RNA (492 nucleotides) under uncultured bacterium. Its description in RNAcentral is "partial 16S ribosomal RNA". It matches the Rfam family "Bacterial small subunit ribosomal RNA", at positions 29 to 507 of the family's 1533-position model. The record is from RNAcentral.